CCUACGGGUGGCAGCAGCGGGGAAUAUUGCGCAAUGGGCGAAAGCCUGACGCAGCAACGCCGCGUGAGGGAUUGAAGGCUCUCGGGUUGUAAACCUCUUUCAGCAGGGACGAUUGUGACGGUACCUGCAGAAGAAGCCCCGGCCAACUACGUGCCAGCAGCCGCGGUAACACGUAGGGGGCGAGCGUUGUCCGGAUUUAUUGGGCGUAAAGAGCUCGUAGGCGGUUUGGUAAGUCGGGUGUGAAAACUCUGGGCUCAACUCAGAGACGCCACCCGAUACUGCCAUGACUUGAGUCCGGUAGGGGAGUAUGGAAUUUCCGGUGUAGCGGUGAAAUGCGCAGAUAUCGGAAGGAACACCAGUAGCGAAGGCGGUACUCUGGGCCGGAACUGACGCUGAGGAGCGAAAGCGUGGGGAGCGAACAGGAUUAGAUACCCUAGUAG
RNAcentral lists this ribosomal RNA (440 nucleotides) under uncultured bacterium. Its description in RNAcentral is "bacterial SSU rRNA". It matches the Rfam family "Bacterial small subunit ribosomal RNA", at positions 338 to 793 of the family's 1533-position model. The record is from RNAcentral.